Molecule: non-coding RNA, 2033 nt
Organism: Electrophorus electricus (electric eel)
Lineage: Eukaryota; Metazoa; Chordata; Actinopteri; Gymnotiformes; Gymnotidae
Source: RefSeq, a predicted model, not a curated record
UCACUGACUAAGAAGUUUUACUGUGUCAGAAUGGUACGUGUGAGAGAGAGAGUUCACUCUGUGUCUUGCUGCGCUACAGUCUUUCCACAGUCCAGCUUCCUAAAGUAGGUGAACAGGUUAUAUAAACAGAGUAUCAAUGGAGGCCAUCUAUUCUAACAAGAACAUUAAGAAGCAUGUGACGAGCGCAAAUGGAGAUGGUGAAUUUUCCUAUGGGAAUUCCAAAUCUGAUGACAUCGUAUACUAUGAAGUCCGCUUCAAAUCAAAAUCAAGACACAGGGGUCAAGUGUUUAUUUAGGAGAGAUAGAGAAUGUGUGUGUGUGUGUGUGUGUGUGUGUGUGUGUGUCUAUGUGUGUGUGUGUGUGUGUGUGUCAGUGCUGAUUUUACAACCCCUGGAUGAAUGCGAGAUCAUUCAAUGUGCAGUUCAGUAGUUUCAAUUUCCACAAAGAUGUCCUUAUUCAGUAGAUUUUCAGGGGAACAGAGGAGAAUCAGUUGGAGCCUGUUAUGGAACAAUACACAAAUGUGCUAAAGAGCCAUCUUUUUCAGUGUAUGAUCAUGAUUGACACCCUUCAAAACCUGGAAAAAGAAAAUGAGCAUCUGUCUGUUUGUGAGACUAGUUUGGUCAAUCAGCUCUCUGGUGAUUAUUAUAUUCUAAUAGUGAAGACAUAACUUUAUUUCUAAGAUUUUUAUUGGAGAAUAAAAGACAGACAGACAAGAUGUGUGCUGGAUUAAUCUGUGCAUCUUGGUUUCAACUUCCAUUUUUGUACUGGAAUACACGACACGACAUUUGGUGAUUGUCACCAGUUCAGGGGAGCAGGUAUGAUGAUGUCUGAAUGUGAUAGCUGUGACAAUAAAAUACUCACUGAAAUGCAGAAAGGUUAUGUUCUGGAAGGGAGUUCUACUGAAAUGGUCUGACUGAUGCUGUGGUGGAGGGAGAAUGGCGCUGGUUAGAUGGCACAAAAGAGACACGGAGGUACUGGGCUGGAAAUGAGCCUGAUGACUGGAAAGGAAGUUAAAAUGCUCACCCUGAAGGAGAAGACUGUGCUGCAAUAACUCAGCUCUGCCAUUUAUCUUUUACUGGAUGCAUUCUGUAGAUAGCAAGAAGAAAGCAAGAAACUCAAGCGUGUCUGUGAGGCCAAAGCAGGAAUGUAAAACAGAGAUAGUAGAUAGUAGAGAUUGUAAUUAUGACAAUAACAUAAGGUGUAGGGAAGUCAAAUCUCAGGCUGAAUUUUCCUUGUAUUUGUUUGUGUCCUGCUUAGGUAUUUCUUUGUUUGUUUAAAUAUUUUAGCAUUGCUUCAUUUUUAUAUCUCUGUAUUGUGACAAGCCCUUUGGUCAUCAAUGAGUAUAGGCUUAUUGAUGAUGCAAGAAGUCAUCUUUAGCUCAUUAUUUAGUAGCAGUAGUAGCUCAGUGGUUACGGUACUUGACUUGUAAUCAGAAGGUUGCUGGCUCAAGACCUGCCACUGUUGGGCCCCUCAGCAAGGCCAUUAAUGCUCAAGUUAUACCCAGUCAUAAGUGUAAGUUGCUUUGGAUAAAGGUGUCAGGUAAAUGUAGUAGCUUCAGUCUCAAGGUGAGCAGGAUGCUUUAAGAAAUAGUGGGUAGUACUGAAAUGCCUUAGAUUGCUUCUGUAACACUUAAUUGUAUUGGUGGAGAUGCUUUGAAAUUAGAGCACUGUAAAGUGAAACAUUGGUUCUAGAGUUUGUUUGUAUUUAUUCACAACUUUGAGACAAAGUGGAGGGUUAUUCAAGGUAAAGCUUCAUCCAGAGUGUUUUAGCAUACAGGUGUAAUUUACGUUUGCUAAAUUAUAAUUAUUACAGUUGUAAACAAUAAACAUCAUAAUCUGCAGAGGGUGUAACAAAUAUAUUUUAUUUUAAUAUCCCAUAGUCAUGAAAUAUUAUGAUAGCUUAAAUUCAGAUGGAUAAACCCUUUUAUAAUUUAAACAGCACUGUAUGUGUUUACUACUUGUGUGUAUGUCCUGAACAAGCAAAUGUAAACAGUGAUAUCAGUGAUGUCUUUGAAUAAAUUAUUGAAUAAAUUGA